UGAGGAAUAUUGGUCAAUGGACGAGAGUCUGAACCAGCCAAGUAGCGUGAAGGAUGACUGCCCUAUGGGUUGUAAACUUCUUUUAUAAGGGAAUAAAGUGCACCACGUGUGGUGUUUUGUAUGUACCUUAUGAAUAAGGAUCGGCUAACUCCGUGCCAGCAGCCGCGGUAAUACGGAGGAUCCGAGCGUUAUCCGGAUUUAUUGGGUUUAAAGGGAGCGUAGGCGGCGGGUUAAGUCAGUUGUGAAAGUUUGCGGCUCAACCGUAAAAUUGCAGUUGAUACUGGCCUGCUUGAGUGCGGCAGAGGCAGGCGGAAUUUGUGGUGUAGCGGUGAAAUGCUUAGAUAUCACGAAGAACUCCGAUUGCGAAGGCAGCUUGCUGGAGCGUAACUGACGCUGAUGCUCGAAAGUGCGGGUAUCAAACAGG
Molecule: ribosomal RNA, 424 nt
Filed under: uncultured Bacteroides sp.
Lineage: Bacteria; Pseudomonadati; Bacteroidota; Bacteroidia; Bacteroidales; Bacteroidaceae
Description: bacterial SSU rRNA
Rfam family: Bacterial small subunit ribosomal RNA
Source: RNAcentral